RNAcentral lists this ribosomal RNA (567 nucleotides) under Coniochaeta sp. 0T10. RNAcentral's name for it is "eukaryotic LSU rRNA". It matches the Rfam family "Eukaryotic large subunit ribosomal RNA", at positions 37 to 628 of the family's 3401-position model. Lineage: Eukaryota; Fungi; Ascomycota; Sordariomycetes; Coniochaetales; Coniochaetaceae. The record is from RNAcentral.
UGCAUAUCAAAAAGCGGAGGAAAAGAAACCAACAGGGAUUGCCCCAGUAACGGCGAGUGAAGCGGCAACAGCUCAAAUUUGAAAUCUGGCUUUCGGGCCCGAGUUGUAAUUUGUAGAGGAUGCUUUUGGCGCGGUGCCUUCCGAGUUCCCUGGAACGGGACGCCACAGAGGGUGAGAGCCCCCUACGGUCGGACACCAAGCCUCUGUAAAGCUCCUUCGACGAGUCGAGUAGUUUGGGAAUGCUGCUCUAAAUGGGAGGUAUAUCUCUUCUAAAGCUAAAUAUAGGCCAGAGACCGAUAGCGCACAAGUAGAGUGAUCGAAAGAUGAAAAGCACUUUGAAAAGAGGGUUAAAAAGUACGUGAAAUUGUUGAAAGGGAAGGGCUUGUGACCAGACUUGUGCCGGGUUGAUCAUCCGCGGUUCUCCCGCGGUGCACUCUCCCCGGUCCAGGCCAGCGUCGGUUCUGGGAGGGGGACAAAAGCUUGGGGAACGUGGCUCCUCCGGGAGUGUUAUAGCCCCUCGCCCAAUGCCCCUGCCGGGACCGAGGUUCGCGCUCUGCAAGGACGCUG